UGGGUUGUAGCUCAGAGGUACAGUGCUUGUUGAGCGUACAUGAGGCACUGAGUUCGAUCCUUAGCACCACAU
This 72-nucleotide transfer RNA is filed under the name Marmota monax (woodchuck). RNAcentral describes it as "tRNA.Ala". Lineage: Eukaryota; Metazoa; Chordata; Mammalia; Rodentia; Sciuridae. The record is from RNAcentral.